UGGGGAAUUUUGGACAAUGGACGCAAGUCUGAUCCAGCCAUGCCGCGUGCGGGAAGAAGGCCUUCGGGUUGUAAACCGCUUUUGUCAGGGAAGAAACGAGUUUCUCUAAUACAGAGACUUAAUGACGGUACCUGAAGAAUAAGCACCGGCUAACUACGUGCCAGCAGCCGCGGUAAUACGUAGGGUGCGAGCGUUAAUCGGAAUUACUGGGCGUAAAGCGUGCGCAGGCGGUUAUGUAAGACAGAUGUGAAAUCCCCGGGCUCAACCUGGGAACUGCAUUUGUGACUGCAUGGCUAGAGUGCGGUAGAGGGGGAUGGAAUUCCGCGUGUAGCAGUGAAAUGCGUAGAUAUGUGGAGGAACACCGAUGGCGAAGGCAAUCCCCUGGACCUGUACUGACGCUCAUGCACGAAAGCGUGGGGAGCAAACA
This 427-nucleotide ribosomal RNA is filed under the name uncultured bacterium. RNAcentral describes it as "bacterial SSU rRNA". It matches the Rfam family "Bacterial small subunit ribosomal RNA", at positions 355 to 774 of the family's 1533-position model. The record is from RNAcentral.